AAAUGAAUAGACGGGGGCCCGCACAAGCAGCGGAGCAUGUUGUUUAAUUCGAAGCAACGCGAAGAACCUUACCAGGUCUUGACAUCCAGUUAAAGCCAUAGAGAUAUGGUGUCCCUUCGGGGGAACUGAGACAGGUGGUGCAUGGUUGUCGUCAGCUCGUGUCGUGAGAUGUUGGGUUAAGUCCCGCAACGAGCGCAACCCUUAUGGUCAGUUACUAACGCGAGAAGGCGAGGACUCUGACAAGACUGCCGGGGACAACUCGGAGGAAGGUGGGGACGACGUCAAAUCAUCAUGCCCCUUAUGACCUGGGCUACAAACGUGCUACAAUGGUGACAACAAAGAGGAGCGAGACCGUAAGGUGGAGCGGAUCUCAAAAAAGUCAUCCCAGUUCGGAUUGUGGGCUGCAACCCGCCCACAUGAAGUUGGAGUUGCUAGUAAUCGCGGAUCAGCAUGCCGCGGUGAAUACGUUCCCGGGCCUUGUACACACCGCCCGU
This 494-nucleotide ribosomal RNA is filed under the name uncultured bacterium. RNAcentral describes it as "bacterial SSU rRNA". It matches the Rfam family "Bacterial small subunit ribosomal RNA", at positions 903 to 1397 of the family's 1533-position model. The record is from RNAcentral.